CCACUGCUUAGGAGUCCUACAAUAGGACGAAAUGGCCGUCCAGUGC
Molecule: non-coding RNA, 46 nt
Filed under: Schistosoma margrebowiei
Lineage: Eukaryota; Metazoa; Platyhelminthes; Trematoda; Strigeidida; Schistosomatidae
Source: RNAcentral